GAGUUUGAUCCUGGCUCAGGAUGAACGCUAGCGAUAGGCUUAACACAUGCAAGUCGAGGGGCAUCACUUUAAGGUGGCGACCGGCGCACGGGUGAGUAACACGUAUGCAACCUGCCCAUUACUUGGGGAUAGCCCGGAGAAAUUCGGAUUAAUACCCAAUGACACAGGGAUACCACAUGGUAAUAUUUGUUAAAGAUUUAUUGGUAAUGGAUGGGCAUGCGCAGGAUUAGAUAGUUGGUGAAGGUAACGGCUCACCAAGUCAGCGAUCCUUAGGGGAACUGAGAGGUUUAUCCCCCACACUGGUACUGAGACACGGACCAGACUCCUACGGGAGGCAGCAGUGAGGAAUAUUGGUCAAUGGUCGAGAGACUGAACCAGCCAAAUCGCGUGAAGGACGAAGGUAUUAUGUAUUGUAAACUUCUUUUGUAGGGGAAUAAAGUGCAGGACGCGUCCUGUUUUGUAUGUACCUUUCGAAUAAGCAUCGGCUAACUCCGUGCCAGCAGCCGCGGUAAUACGGAGGAUGCGAGCGUUAUCCGGAUUUAUUGGGUUUAAAGGGUGCGUAGGUGGAUGGAUCAGUCAGCGGUGAAAUCCCGGAGCUUAACUCCGGCACUGCCGUUGAAACUGUCCGUCUUGAGUGUAAACGAGGCAGGCGGAAUUCGUAGUGUAGCGGUGAAAUGCAUAGAUAUUACGAAGAACCCCGAUAGCGCAGGCAGCUUGCCAGGCUACAACUGACACUGAAGCACGAAAGUGUGGGUAUCAAACAGGAUUAGAUACCCUGGUAGUCCACACAGUAAACGAUGAUUACUCGCUGUUUGCGAUAUACGGCAAGCGGCUUAGCGAAAGCGUUAAGUAAUCCACCUGGGGAGUACGCCGGCAACGGUGAAACUCAAAGGAAUUGACGGGGGCCCGCACAAGCGGAGGAACAUGUGGUUUAAUUCGAUGAUACGCGAGGAACCUUACCCGGGCUCGAACGGCUGUUGAAUGAUUGUGAAAGCAGUCAGUCGCAAGACAACA
This 1014-nucleotide ribosomal RNA is filed under the name uncultured Bacteroidota bacterium. RNAcentral describes it as "bacterial SSU rRNA". It matches the Rfam family "Bacterial small subunit ribosomal RNA", at positions 9 to 1031 of the family's 1533-position model. The record is from RNAcentral. Lineage: Bacteria; Pseudomonadati; Bacteroidota.